CUGAGGUGCGUGUGGGGUUGGAGGGGUAUCACGGAGAGCUGGGUCUUGGAGAAAGAGCCAGAGGGGGAAGGGUGGGAGAGCCGUUUCUGUCAGAGAACUUGGCAUAAACACAGGCAUCCAGGUGUGACACUGCCCGGUUUCACUGGUCCUACUUGUAAAAGUAGGGCUGGCAAAGGCAAAAGCAGGGCUGAAGCUGCAAAGCAAGGGUGGCAUGCCUGGCUCGAGGGUACCUGGGGUUUGGGUGAGGAGCUUGGAUGCUGUCCUGUGAAGUGGGAGACCCUAGGAGGUGAGCUACUUUGCGCAUGGCACGUCUCUGGACUGGAGAACUACCUUAUGUCCUGCGUAUCAGAGUCCUCCGUUACCAUUUCUUGGAGAGACAUCGAGGAGGAUCACAAACACAUGGAGGAGAGGACACCUGGCUUUAACCUACCUUCGAUAUCACUAUCGUGUUGGCCGAGUCACUUUUCUCAUCUACAAGAUGAAGCCGAUUCAGGGAGAGAGAUAUUGGAGGAUGACGGAGACCUGAACUCAUGUUUGUGACAGUUUUUCCUCUUGAGAAAAGACAGAAAAGUGCUUGGAAAUAUAUUGAUAAUUUGCCUAAGACAUAUGAGACAAAUAAAUUGGUAUAAUCCAGGAAAAUACUAGCCCAUUUAGAAGUCACCUUUAUAUCAAAAGGCAUUUACAAGAAAAGUAAUGGCAACAUUGUUCACAAUUCAAAAUAACUGAAAACAUUCCAAAUGGUUACCAAUAGUAGAAAGGAUGAUUUUGGUGUAUUUGUAAAAUGGAACAUUAGAGAUCAAUGACAAUGAACAAAUAGUAACUGCACAGAACAACGUGGCUGAUUCUUACAGGCUGCUGAGCAAACAGAGCAAGAAAAAAGAAACAGAUGAAACUAAACGAUAAAUUCUUUAGAGACACACACCAAUGCAUAUGAGAUAAAACUAAUGGAGAGCAAGAGAAUUAUUAACACAGAUAAUUAUAUAAUGGCCUCCUCAGUGUGGGAAGAGAAUGGCAGAUAACAAUUGGGGUGAAGAGUUUCAGAGGCAGAGGUAAUGCUUUAUUGAAGUGUGUGGUGAAUAUAUGGAUGUUUACUUUAUUAUUCUUUACAAUGUACGUUAUAUACACACACAUCACAUGUACAAUGUAUAUAAUACAUAGUAUAUAUAAUGUACAUACAGCAUAUUUCAUAAUUUAUAAAUAUGAAAACUAUAUGAAAAAACCCCACUUCACCAUAUAUGUGAAAGAAGACCUAAGUGAAUGGAGAAAUAUUUACUGAGGGAUCAUAGCACUUUUUGUAUAUUUUGAAGACGAAAAUUUUCAUUGAAUUUAAAGAUUUAAAUGGGAUUUCACUCAAGAUCCCAUAUAUAGGCAAGAAAAUUUAAGAAAAAGAUUUUAUAAGAGAAAGGAAAGAAAAAGAAAAGGAAAAGGAAUGGAGGUUUAUUAUCCAAAAUAUAAAAUUGCAUUAUAAGUUUAUAAUAAAAUAGGAAAUGAUGACAAAAUAAACCAUCAGAGCAACGUAACACAAUGUAUAUAUAUAAUAUGUAUAUAGUAUGUGUACAUAGUAUACAUCGUAUAUUUAUGCACAUAGUAUAAAAACAGAUCCUACAUUUUCUUCAUCUAAUAAAGGAUAUUUACAAACAACAUAUAUAACUAAUAUGAUACCCAGUAGUGAAAUAUGGAACACUUUUCCUGAGUUUGGGAACAAGGAAAGGAUAUGCAGUACCAUCACUUCUAUUUAGUGUUGUAAUGGAAGCCCUAUCCAGUGCAAUACAGCUAGAAAAAGAAAAAAAAAGUAUAAAUAAAGAAGCAAAUAAAAUUAUUUGCUGAUUACGUGAUUUUAGAAAAAUCCAAAAGAAACUACAGACUCUUAAAAUUAAGAUGUAAAUUUAGCUAGGCUUCUGGCUACAAAAUCAAUAUAUAAAAAUCUAUUGCAUUUCUAUGUACUUAGCAAGAAAUAAGGUGAAAGUGAGAUUUAUAAAAAAAUAAUAAUAAUAAAGAAUAAAAACAUCCAAAACCAACAAAUGCCUAGGAACAAAAUCUGAUAAAGAUCAUUAGCAAGACUUUUGCAUUGAAAACUACAAAAGGGGGGCACCUGUGUGGCUCAGUCGGUUAAGCAUCGGACUCUUGAUUUCAGCUCAGUUCAUGAUCUCAGCGGGGAGUCUGCUUGUCUCCCUCUCCCCGUGCCCCUCUCCCUGCUCACUCACUACCUCUCUAUAUAUAUAAAAUAACAAAAUCUUUAAAAGAGGAAAGUAAAAGGGUGCCUGGGUGGCUCAGUUGGUUAAAUGUCUGCCUUUGCCUUCAGCUCUGGUCGUGAUCCCAGGGUCCUGGGAUGGAGCCUUCAUCAGGUGCCUUCCUCAGCAGGGAGUCUGUUCCUCCUUCUCUUCCUCUCCCUCCCCCCGUUGUGCUUUCUCUUUCUCACGUGUGCCCUCUCUCAAAUGAAUAAAUAAAAUCUUUUAAAAAACAAAACUACAUGGGAUGCCUGGGUGGCUCAGCGGUUAAGCAUCUGCCUUUGGCCCAGAGUGUGAUCCUGGAGUCCCAGGAUUGAGUCCCACAUCGGACUCCCUGCAUGGAGCCUGCUUCUCCCUCUGCCUGUCUCUGCACUCUCUCUGUGUCUCUCAUAAAUAAAUAAAUAAAAUAUUUAAAAAAAAUAAAAUAAAAAUAAAUAAAUAAAUAAAUAAACCAAAACUACAAACAUUGAGAGAAAUUAAAGAAAUGUUAUUCAUAGAUCAGAAAACUAUUAUUCCUCCAGAACCGAUCUAUAUAUUUGUUUGAGCCUGAUAGUGGGUGGCUUACACAACAAAAAUGUAUUGUCUCACAGUUCUGGAGGCCAGAAGUCCAAAAUCAAGGUCUCAGCAGGGCCAUGCUCCAUCUGAAGGCUCGAGGGAAGGAUGUGUCUCAGCCCUCUCUUCUAGCUUCUGGUUGUUGCCCUGUGGCAAUACAACUUCAGUCUUCACAUGACGUUCUCACUGUGUGCGUGUCUGUGUCCAAAUUUCCUCUUCUUAUAAAGACAUCAGUCAUAUUGGAGUAGGGACUCAUGCUACUCUAGUGUGACCUCAUCUUCACUAAUCACAUCAACAACAGUCUUAUUUUCAAAUAAGGUCACAUUUCUAGGUAUUGAGGGUUAGGACGUCAACAUAUGAGUUUUGGGGGGCAUAGUUCAACCCAUAACAGUAUUCCAUGCAUUCUGAUCUACAUUACAACCAGUUUUCUUUCAGGUAGCAAUUGACAAUCAAAACUUACAUUCAAAUGACUCUAAUUCAGACAAUGUUUCCCUGCUAUUUAAUUUUAGAGGACAACUUAGCACUGUCUUCUUGUGUAGCCCUCAAACACAAGAAGUGACUCUUCAAAAUCGAUCUCGUUUAAUGAAAUCUGCAACCAAUAUUAUGAAAUCCACAACUAAUAUUAUGGUUAUUUUUAUUCCUACUUACUCUUGUUUUAAGUAAGCAUCCUCCCUGAUUUGUGGUAUUGUUCCUUGCAGAGAACAGGGUUAAAGUCUCCUGGGUAUCAGGGAGAUAGAACUGGGGAAACAGUACUCCAUAGUGGAGUAGAGAUAAGAAGUCAGUAAACUAUACCUUAGCCCUCUGAGUCAGAUCCUAUUCCUCGGUGGGGAAGAAGUUAGAUAUUAUAGUCAAUAAUUAUUUUAUUCUAUAAUUCUCUUUCUUUCUUAUUGUCCAUCUCUCCUUCAAAAACAGACUCUGUCCCUAUUGAUCAUUGAAUCUCCAGCCCCUAGAAAAGCACUGUGAAAUACGGUGGCCACACAGUGGGUUUCAAAGAGGUAACACAAGAAAAGAAUGUAAAAAUCUCACUAAUAAUGUCUUAUAUGGAUUACAUGUUGCAAUGAUACUGUUUUGGAUGUAUUUGCUUAAAUAAAAUAUACUGUCUAAUACUAUCUGUAAAUGCUUAUAUGUAAUUUAUGUAUUUUUAGAGUAUGACUGUUAUAUGUAAUUUGAAAUGACAUACAGGGCUUGCAUUUCUUUUUUUUUUUUUUUUAAGAUUUUUAAUUUAUUUAUUCAUCAGAGACACAGAGAGAGAGAGAAGCAGAGACACAGGCAGAGGGAGAAACAGGCUCCAUGCAGGGAGCCCGACGUGGGACUCGAUCCUGGGCCUCCAGGAUCACGCCUGGGCUGAAGGCGGCGCUAAACCGCUGGGCCACCUGGGCUGCCCUUGCAUUGUAUUUCUACUGGACAGCUCUGCCCUACAAUAUUGCCUGGCACAUAGUAAGCACUCAAUAAAUAUU
RNAcentral lists this long non-coding RNA (4237 nucleotides) under Canis lupus familiaris (dog). Its description in RNAcentral is "lncRNA (ENSCAFG00845002528.1)". Lineage: Eukaryota; Metazoa; Chordata; Mammalia; Carnivora; Canidae. The record is from RNAcentral.